This 253-nucleotide ribosomal RNA is filed under the name uncultured bacterium. RNAcentral describes it as "partial 16S ribosomal RNA". It matches the Rfam family "Bacterial small subunit ribosomal RNA", at positions 524 to 776 of the family's 1533-position model. The record is from RNAcentral.
UACAGAGGGGGCAAGCGUUAUUCGGAAUUAUUGGGCGUAAAGGGCGCGUAGGCGGCACCGCAAGUCGACUGUGAAAUCUCCGGGCUUAACUCGGAAAGGUCAGCCGAUACUGCGGGGCUAGAGUGCAGAAGGGGCAACUGGAAUUCUCGGUGUAGCGGUGAAAUGCGUAGAUAUCGAGAGGAACACCUGCGGCGAAGGCGGGUUGCUGGGCUGACACUGACGCUGAUGCGCGAAAGCUAGGGGAGCGAACGGG